Molecule: RNase P RNA, 416 nt
Filed under: Ignavibacteriaceae bacterium
Lineage: Bacteria; Pseudomonadati; Ignavibacteriota; Ignavibacteria; Ignavibacteriales; Ignavibacteriaceae
Description: RNase P RNA component class A
Rfam family: Bacterial RNase P class A
About the family: Ribonuclease P (RNase P) is a ubiquitous endoribonuclease, found in archaea, bacteria and eukarya as well as chloroplasts and mitochondria. Its best characterised activity is the generation of mature 5'-ends of tRNAs by cleaving the 5'-leader elements of precursor-tRNAs. Cellular RNase Ps are ribonucleoproteins.
Source: RNAcentral
AGAAUAGCCGGGGCAAUUGCUGUCCCGAUUGGGAGAGAGGAAAGUCCGAACUUCGCAGAACAGGAUGCCGGGUAACGCCCGGGAGCCGGAAUCGAAAGUUCCGGUUACGGAAAGUGCCACAGAAAAUAUACCGCCCCGAUUCAUCGGAGUAAGGUUGAAAUGGCAGGGUAAGAGCCUACCGCGGUAAUGGUAACAUUGCCGGUCCCGUAUGGGAUUCCGCUAAUUACGGAACAAGGCAAACCCCAUCCGAAGCAAGGUCAAGCAGAAAGUCUUCCGGUUUUCCGGAACGGGGUUGUUCGCCCUUAGUGCUUUCGGGUAGACCGCUCGAUGUAUGGAGUAAUUCAUAUACUAGACAAAUAAUUGCCUUCCCCGCUUUGCAGGGAAUACAAAAUUCGGCUUAUACGGCUAUUCUAUUU